UCCUCCGUGGCGCAAUUGGCUAGCGCGUUCGACUGUUAUCACACGCAGUUUAUCGAGAGGUUGGAAGUUCGAGCCUUCCCGGGGGAG
Non-coding RNA from Clathrospora elynae, 87 nucleotides. The record is from the annotation of a GenBank genome assembly. Lineage: Eukaryota; Fungi; Ascomycota; Dothideomycetes; Pleosporales; Diademaceae.